Molecule: RNase P RNA, 217 nt
Filed under: Gemmatimonadota bacterium
Lineage: Bacteria; Pseudomonadati; Gemmatimonadota
Description: Gemmatimonadetes bacterium partial RNase P RNA component class A
Rfam family: Bacterial RNase P class A
About the family: Ribonuclease P (RNase P) is a ubiquitous endoribonuclease, found in archaea, bacteria and eukarya as well as chloroplasts and mitochondria.
Source: RNAcentral
GUGAAAUGGUGGGGUAAGAGCCCACCGCGCCGCUGGUAACAGCGGUGGCAGGGUAACCCCCAGUCGGAGCAAGGCCAAAUAGGCGGCGAGGUGCGACCCGCACCGUUAGAGCAGUGGGUCGGCUGCUCGAGGCGUCCGGCGACGGACGUCCCAGAUAGAUGAUCGCCCGUCUACCUCGGUAGACGAACAGAACUCGGCUUACGGCCCGGCCUCCCUU